UAUUGGGCAAUGGGCGCAAGCCUGACCCAGCAACGCCGCGUGAAGGGAGAAGGCUUUCGGGCUGUAAACUUCUUUUAUGAGGGACGAAGGAAGUGACGGUACCUCAUGAAUAAGCCACGGCUAACUACGUGCCAGCAGCCGCGGUAAUACGUAGGUGGCGAGCGUUAGCCGGAUUUACUGGGUGUAAAGGGCGUGUAGGCGGGAUUGCAAGUCAGAUGUGAAAACUAUGGGCUCAACCCAUAGCCUGCAUUUGAAACUGUAGUUCUUGAGUGCUGGAGAGGCAAUCGGAAUUCCGUGUGUAGCGGUGAAAUGGGUAGAUAUACGGAGGAACACCAGUGGCGAAGGCGGAUUGCUGGACAGUAACUGACGCUGAGGCGCGAAAGCGUGGGGAGCAAACAGG
This 400-nucleotide ribosomal RNA is filed under the name uncultured bacterium. Its description in RNAcentral is "bacterial SSU rRNA". It matches the Rfam family "Bacterial small subunit ribosomal RNA", at positions 362 to 776 of the family's 1533-position model. The record is from RNAcentral.